RNAcentral lists this ribosomal RNA (500 nucleotides) under uncultured Glomeromycotina. RNAcentral's name for it is "partial small subunit ribosomal RNA". It matches the Rfam family "Eukaryotic small subunit ribosomal RNA", at positions 591 to 1092 of the family's 1831-position model. The record is from RNAcentral. Lineage: Eukaryota; Fungi; Glomeromycota.
CCAAUAGCGUAUAUUAAAGUUGUUGCAGUUAAAAAGCUCGUAGUUGAAUUUCGGGAUCAAUAUAUCGGUCGUGCCAUCGGUACGUACUGGUAUCAUUGGUUUCUCCUUUCUGACGAACCAUGAUGUCAUUAAUUUGGUGUCAUGGGGAAUCAGGACUGUUACUUUGAAAAAAUUAGAGUGUUUAAAGCAGGCUCACGCUUGAAUACAUUAGCAUGGAAUAAUGAAAUAGGACGUUUGAUUCUAUUUUGUUGGUUUCUAGGAUUGACGUAAUGAUUAAUAGGGAUAGUUGGGGGCAUUAGUAUUCAAUUGUCAGAGGUGAAAUUCUUGGAUUUAUUGAAGACUAACUACUGCGAAAGCAUUUGCCAAGGAUGUUUUCAUUAAUCAAGAACGAAAGUUAGGGGAUCGAAGACGAUCAGAUACCGUCGUAGUCUUAACCAUAAACUAUGCCGACUAGGGAUCGGAUGAUGUUAAUUUUUUAAUGACUCAUUCGGCGCCUUACG